RNAcentral lists this transfer RNA (59 nucleotides) under Moniezia expansa (sheep tapeworm). RNAcentral's name for it is "tRNA-Ser". The record is from RNAcentral. Lineage: Eukaryota; Metazoa; Platyhelminthes; Cestoda; Cyclophyllidea; Anoplocephalidae.
GAAGAAUUGUGUGUAGUUACUGCUAAUAACUUUGUAUCAAUUGAGUUUGAUGUUCUUCU